UAGGGAAUAUUAGAAAUGGACGAAAGUCUGAUCUAGCAACACCGCGUGUGCGAGGAAGGCCUUCGGGUUGUAAAGCACUUUUUGGAAGGAUUAGGAAGGAAUGUACUUCCAGAAUAAGUCUCGGCUAACUACGUGCCAGCAGCCGCGGUAACACGUAGGAGGCAAACGUUAUCCGGAUUUACUGGGCGUAAAGCGCGUGUAGGUGGUUCAGUAAGUAGGGCGUGAAAGCUCCUGGCUCAACUGGGAGAGGCCGUUCUAAACUGCAGAGCUAGAGGAUGGUAGAGGGAGGUGGAAUUCCGGGUAUAGCGGUGGAAUGCGCAGAUAUCCGGAGGAACACCAGUGGCGAAAGCGGCCUCCUGGACCAUUCCUGACACUCAGACGCGAAAGCUAGGGUAGCAAACGG
This 403-nucleotide ribosomal RNA is filed under the name uncultured bacterium. Its description in RNAcentral is "bacterial SSU rRNA". It matches the Rfam family "Bacterial small subunit ribosomal RNA", at positions 355 to 775 of the family's 1533-position model. The record is from RNAcentral.